GUGGGGAAUUUUGGACAAUGGGCGAAAGCCUGAUCCAGCCAUGCCGCGUGCAGGAUGAAGGCCUUCGGGUUGUAAACUGCUUUUGUACGGAACGAAAAGACUCCUUCUAAUAAAGGGGGUCCAUGACGGUACCGUAAGAAUAAGCACCGGCUAACUACGUGCCAGCAGCCGCGGUAAUACGUAGGGUGCAAGCGUUAAUCGGAAUUACUGGGCGUAAAGCGUGCGCAGGCGGUUAUAUAAGACAGAUGUGAAAUCCCCGGGCUCAACCUGGGAACUGCAUUUGUGACUGUAGAGCUAGAGUACGGUAGAGGGGGAUGGAAUUCCGCGUGUAGCAGUGAAAUGCGUAGAUAUGCGGAGGAACACCGAUGGCGAAGGCAAUCCCCUGGACCUGUACUGACGCUCAUGCACGAAAGCGUGGGGAGCAAACAGGAUUAGAAACCCGGGUAGUCC
This 450-nucleotide ribosomal RNA is filed under the name uncultured bacterium. RNAcentral's name for it is "partial 16S ribosomal RNA". It matches the Rfam family "Bacterial small subunit ribosomal RNA", at positions 354 to 796 of the family's 1533-position model. The record is from RNAcentral.